RNAcentral lists this unclassified non-coding RNA (327 nucleotides) under plant metagenome. RNAcentral's name for it is "partial contains 5.8S ribosomal RNA, internal transcribed spacer 2, and large subunit ribosomal RNA". The stretch from base 1 to 105 matches the Rfam family "5.8S ribosomal RNA", at positions 50 to 154 of the family's 154-position model. The record is from RNAcentral.
GAAAUGCGAUAAGUAAUGUGAAUUACAGAAUUCAGUGAAUCAUCGAAUCUUUGAACGCACAUUGCGCCCGUUAGCAUUCUAGCGGGCAUGCCUGUCCGAGCGUCAUUUCAACCCUCAGGGCCCCCCGUUCCGGCGGGCGGACCUGGCGUUGGGGAUCGGCCCGCCCCGUGCGGCGCCGUCCCCCAAAUACAGUGGCGGUCCCGCCGCAGCCUCCCCUGCGUAGUAGUUUACAACCUCGCAUCGGAGCGCGGCGCGGCCACGCCGUAAAACCCCCGACUUUCUGAACGUUGACCUCGGAUCAGGUAGGAAUACCCGCUGAACUUAAGC